Small nucleolar RNA from Linderina pennispora, 260 nucleotides. It matches the Rfam family "ACEA small nucleolar RNA U3". From Rfam's summary of the family: Small nucleolar RNAs (snoRNAs) are involved in the processing and modification of rRNA in the nucleolus. There are two main classes of snoRNAs: the box C/D class, and the box H/ACA class. The record is from Rfam. NCBI's taxonomy places the organism in Eukaryota, Fungi, Kickxellomycota, Kickxellomycetes, Kickxellales, Kickxellaceae.
UCGACUGUUCUCAUCAGGAUUAUGUUUACAGUUAAUUUACAGUUCUUUGUUCAUCGAACAUAGACAUUGGAACCACGCUGGAAGAUGACCGACAGUGCGCCGUCCGUAAAGGGAGGUGUGGGUCCAGCGCUCAUUCGUGACGCUGCUGCUUUUUUUCGACCCGUCGAUGAUCUUGCCUGCUCUGCGCCCCCUCGCUCGCUUUCUGCGGGCGUGGGUUUAAGAGUGCGAGCGGCGAGGAUGGACGCACAUUCUGACAGCUC